Long non-coding RNA from Dromaius novaehollandiae (emu), 561 nucleotides. RefSeq lists it as uncharacterized. The transcript has 3 exons. The record is from RefSeq and is a predicted model, not a curated record. NCBI's taxonomy places the organism in Eukaryota, Metazoa, Chordata, Aves, Casuariiformes, Dromaiidae.
CUGCGGCACAGGCGGCUCCCAAGCGGGCCUGGGCCGCAGCGGCCGCACGAAUCCCCUCCCCGCGCCCCGGGCGCCGCCACCGGCGGCAUGGAGCCGUGUGGGCAAGGCCCUGCAGGGCAAUGGCUCUCUCUGCCAUGGUGCCUCUGGCUUUUUUGUCAACCCAGGAGGUCACAGCAGAGCAAGAGGUGCCGGUGGAGGGUCGCAGCUGCAGGAGGGCUCUCGAGAGGAGCCAUGGAGCAUUACCUGGCUGCAGGGCUGCGAGACGCAGACGGACUGCUGAGUGCAGAGGAGAAGAGGGGCGAGCCCGGGCGCAGAAGACAGCAACUCGGAGCAGGAUGUCCUGAGCUGCUGGAUAUGCCGCUCGGGGUCAAACUCCCUUUGCUGCCUGGCUCCAACCCUGUCUUCUACCGGAGCAAGCUGGGGGAAAAGCUUCACCAGCCAUCUGGUUAUUUCAAUCUGGGCGAUCCACACUGCCGCUUACUAAGCAACGAGUACAACGGUCUGCAUGACCCGCAUUUGCAGGCCUACUACAACUGCAAAGACAGCCUGCGGAGACUGAAG